Molecule: ribosomal RNA, 850 nt
Filed under: uncultured bacterium
Lineage: Bacteria
Description: bacterial SSU rRNA
Rfam family: Bacterial small subunit ribosomal RNA
Source: RNAcentral
CAUGCAAGUCGAACGGGAAGAGAUGAAGAGCUUGCUCUUUAUCGAAUCCAGUGGCAAACGGGUGAGUAACACGUAAACAACCUGCCUUCAGGAUGGGGACAACAGACGGAAACGACUGCUAAUACCGAAUACGUUCCACGGGCCGCAUGACCUGUGGAAGAAAGGGUAGCCUCUACCUGUAAGCUAUCGCCUGAAGAGGGGUUUGCGUCUGAUUAGGCAGUUGGUGAGGUAACGGCUCACCAAACCAACGAUCAGUAGCCGGUCUGAGAGGAUGAACGGCCACACUGGAACUGAGACACGGUCCAGACUCCUACGGGAGGCAGCAGUGGGGAAUCUUCCGCAAUGGACGAAAGUCUGACGGAGCAACGCCGCGUGAGUGAAGACGGCCUUCGGGUUGUAAAGCUCUGUGAUCCGGGACGAAAGAGCCUGAGGUAAAUAGCCUGAGGAAGUGACGGUACCGGAAAAGCAAGCCACGGCUAACUACGUGCCAGCAGCCGCGGUAAUACGUAGGUGGCAAGCGUUGUCCGGAAUUAUUGGGCGUAAAGCGCGCGCAGGCGGCUUACUAAGUCCAUCUUAAAAGUGCGGGGCUUAACCCCGUGAUGGGAUGGAAACUGGAAAGCUGGAGUAUCGGAGAGGAAAGUGGAAUUCCUAGUGUAGCGGUGAAAUGCGUAGAGAUUAGGAAGAACACCGGUGGCGAAGGCGACUUUCUGGACGAAAACUGACGCUGAGGCGCGAAAGCGUGGGGAGCAAACAGGAUUAGAUACCCUGGUAGUCCACGCCGUAAACGAUGGAUACUAGGUGUAGGAGGUAUCGACCCCUUCUGUGCCGGAGUUAACGCAAUAAGUAUCCC